This 489-nucleotide ribosomal RNA is filed under the name uncultured bacterium. Its description in RNAcentral is "partial 16S ribosomal RNA". It matches the Rfam family "Bacterial small subunit ribosomal RNA", at positions 28 to 507 of the family's 1533-position model. The record is from RNAcentral.
GACGAACGCUGGCGGCGUGCUUAACACAUGCAAGUCGAACGGUGAAGGGACCAGCUUGCUGGUUCUGGAUGAGUGGCGAACGGGUGAGUAACACGUGAGUAACCUGCCCCCUUCUUCUGGAUAACCGCAUGAAAGCGUGGCUAAUACGGGAUAUUCUGGGUCUGUCGCAUGGCGGGCCCGGGAAAGAUAUUGCUUCGGUGGGGGAUGGGCUCGCGGCCUAUCAGCGUGUUGGUGGGGUGAUGGCCUACCAAGGCGGUGACGGGUAGCCGGCCUGAGAGGGUGGACGGUCACACUGGGACUGAGACACGGCCCAGACUCCUACGGGAGGCAGCAGUGGGGAAUAUUGCACACUGGGCGCAAGCCUGAUGCAGCGACGCCGCGUGAGGGAUGGAGGCCUUCGGGUUGUAAACCUCUUUCGCCAGUGAAGCAGGCCUGCUCCUUGUGGGUGGGUUGACGGUAGCUGGAUAAGAAGCGCCGGCUAACUACGUG